GCUGAGCAGGAAGCUGUACAACAACCGGUUUGACAAGUUACAAGUGGUGGACCUACAUCAUCUAGAUGUACAGUUAACAACUCUACCUCGAUUCGAUGCAGUGGGAGAGGUUGAAGUUGACGUUCAAGCAGUCACCCUGGCGAACAAGAAAUCUUUCAGGCCAAGAGGCUAGGUGACUAGAAACUCAAUCACUAUAUCCGUGAAACUUGUCGGGAGCACUGUUAUUUGUGGAGGUCGGACCGAAACUGUAAUCAGACACUAAACAUUGACGAGGACCAAUUACUCUACUCCUUCAAUGAUUAAUAAAGAUCGCUGAUUGCUUUUACUAAUGUAUAGUGUUAAAAUGAAAGAGAAAUUGUUGAGACGGAAGAGAAAAAGGCACUCAUUUAUUUAUAGUUUUAUGUCUUGACAAUGAUAUUCGAAAGCUAAUUUUAAAAACUGGCUCUGAACCCUUGCUAAAUGAUUUAGGAAGGUGUACGGGAUAAAUAUGCCUGUAGACAUCAUUUUCAGUGGGUUUUAUGAAGUUUAUGAUU
Bolinopsis microptera is the source of this 533-nucleotide long non-coding RNA. RefSeq lists it as uncharacterized. Lineage: Eukaryota; Metazoa; Ctenophora; Tentaculata; Lobata; Bolinopsidae. The transcript has 3 exons. The record is from RefSeq and is a predicted model, not a curated record.